This 253-nucleotide ribosomal RNA is filed under the name uncultured bacterium. RNAcentral describes it as "partial 16S ribosomal RNA". It matches the Rfam family "Bacterial small subunit ribosomal RNA", at positions 524 to 776 of the family's 1533-position model. The record is from RNAcentral.
UACAGAGGUGGCAAGCGUUGUUCGGAAUUACUGGGCGUAAAGGGUGCGUAGGCGGCCAUGUAAGUGAGGUGUGAAAUCCCUCGGCUCAACCGAGGAACUGCGCUUCAUACUGCAUGGCUUGAGGGAGACAGGGGUAAGCGGAACUGAUGGUGGAGCGGUGAAAUGCGUUGAUAUCAUCAGGAACACCGGUGGCGAAAGCGGCUUACUGGGUCUCUUCUGACGCUGAGGUACGAAAGCUAGGGUAGCGAACGGG